RNAcentral lists this transfer RNA (76 nucleotides) under Vibrio parahaemolyticus. Its description in RNAcentral is "tRNA-Gly". It matches the Rfam family "tRNA". From Rfam's summary of the family: Transfer RNA (tRNA) molecules are approximately 80 nucleotides in length. Lineage: Bacteria; Pseudomonadati; Pseudomonadota; Gammaproteobacteria; Vibrionales; Vibrionaceae. The record is from RNAcentral.
GCGACACUAGCUCAGUUGGUAGAGCGCAACCUUGCCAAGGUUGAGGGCACGAGUUCGAACCUCGUGUGUCGCUCCA